RNAcentral lists this ribosomal RNA (1876 nucleotides) under human gut metagenome. RNAcentral's name for it is "bacterial LSU rRNA". It matches the Rfam family "Bacterial large subunit ribosomal RNA", at positions 1 to 1980 of the family's 2925-position model. The record is from RNAcentral.
UAAAGCAAAGAAGAGCGCAGAGUGAAUGCCUUGGCAUUGGGAGCCGAUGAAGGACGUGGUUAACUGCGAUAAGCUGCGGGGAGCUGUAAGCAAGCUUUGAUCCGCAGAUUUCCGAAUGGAGCAAUCCACAUGAAGUAGUUCAUGUAUCCAUACGUGAAUUCAUAGCGUAUGGAGGGGAACCGCCUGAACUGAAACAUCUAAGUAGGGCGAGGAAGAGAAAUCAACCGAGAUUCCGUAAGUAGUGGCGAGCGAACGCGGAAGAGGCCAAACCGAGAGAAGAAAUUCUUUCGGGGUUCGGACUGCAUUUAGUAUUCUUGAUCUUUAGUCGAACAGUCUGGGAAGGCUGACAAGAAAGUGUGAUAGUCACGUAGACGAAAAGGAGAAAGAGCGAGCAGUAUCCAGAGUACCGCGGGGCACGUGAAAUCCCGUGGGAAGAUGGGGGGACCACCCUCCAAGCCUAAAUACUACCCAAUGACCGAUAGCGUAAAGUACUGUGAAGGAACGGUGAAAAGAACCCCGGGAGGGGAGUGAAAAGAACCUGAAACUCUGUGCUUACAAGCACAUAGAGCACGUCAAUGUGUGAUAUGGUACCUUUUGUAGAAUGGUCCGGCGAGUUAUGGUAUGCAGCGUGGUUAAGGACUUCAGGUCUGAAGCCGAAGCGAGAGCGAGUCUGACAAGGGCGAAAAGUUGUAUGCCAUAGACCCGAAACCGGGUGACCUAGCCAUGUCCAGGCUGAAGUGGAGGUAAAACUCCAUGGAGGGCCGAACCGACCUCCGUUGAAAAGGCGGCGGAUGAGAUGUGGCUAGCGGAGAAAUUCCAAUCGAACCCGGAUAUAGCUGGUUCUCCCCGAAAUAGCUUUAGGGCUAGCGUUGUAUUAGAUUACCGGAGGUAAAGCACUGAAUGGGCUAGGGGCUGAGAAGUUACUGAACCCUAUCAAACUAAGAAUGCCGGAUAAUUGAUGUACAGCAGUCAGACUAUGUGAGAUAAGUCUCAUAGUCAAAAGGGAAACAGCCCAGACCCACAGCUAAGGUCCCAAAAUGGAUUUAAGUGGAAAAGGAUGUGGAAUUGCACAGACAACCAGGAUGUUGGCUUAGAAGCAGCCACUCAUUAAAAGAGUGCGUAAUAGCUCACUGGUCGAGUGACUCUGCGCCGAAAAUUCAACGGGGCUAAAAUUCAUACCGAAGCUUGGGCUUGACAGUAAUGUCAGGGGUAGGGGAGCGUCGUAUACGAGGUGAAGUCAUAGCGGAAGCGGUGGUGGAUUGUAUACGAGUGAGAAUGCCGGAAUGAGUAGCGAGAAUUAUGUGAGAAUCAUAAUGGCCGAAAGUCUAAGGUUUCCUGAGGAAGGUUCGUCCUCUCAGGGUUAGCCGGGAGCUAAGGUGAGGCGGAAACGCGUAGCCGAUGCACAUACGGUAGAAAUUCCGUAGCCUCCGAAGAUUUAAGCACAGGGACACUUUUGAAGGGCUGAGCCGGGCGUUGGUUGCCCCGGUCGAAAGGGACACGAUUGAGUGGAAGUCAGUUUGGAAAGAGGCGAGAAAAGCUGUGUGUAUAUGAAAGGAGCCCGUACCGCAAACCGACACAGGUAGACAGGAAGAAGAUUCUAAGGCCAGCGGGAGAAGGGUUGUUAAGGAACUCGGCAAGUUGACCCCGUAACUUCGGGAGAAGGGGUGCUUACGAAGGUAAGCCGCAGAGAAUAGGCCCAAGCGACUGUUUAGCAAAAACACAGCUCUAUGCUAAAUCGAAAGAUGACGUAUAUGGGGUGACACCUGCCCGGUGCUGGAAGGUUAAGAGGAGAUGUGAGAGCAUCGAAUUGAAGCCCCAGUAAACGGCGGCCGUAACUAUAACGGUCCUAAGGUAGCGAAAUUCCUUGUCAGGUAAG